UAUUCAUAAACGCGUAUUUUGUCAACGUAUUAUUUUGGAAAAUAUUAUGUCAAGAGAAAAUAUAAUAUUUUUGAGAAAAAUAUUUUUAUUUUGGAAUUAGAAGUAAAUAUAUAUUAAGUAAGACUUAAUAAUAUAUUCCGAGCGCACAUGUGUUAAAUUCCCCAUCCUUGGGAAGGAAAAUAAAUUACCAAGUACAUACAAGGAACGGUUGUCUAACUGUUUCCCCAAAAUUGUAAACUAUAAAGCUAAGGCACGGCCAUCCGUCUAAUAGAAUUAGCACAUGUAGGUCGUUGCACAGCUAUCGGAUAUUUGGAGUACUUGGUAUAGCGACGCACUGACUGUGAGUUCAUGUCCCCCCUUUUCUCUUAACUCUUUUCAGUUUUAUAAACUGCGGGGGUGAAAUACAUGUUACUAUGAUUAUGAAUACUUGAUACAUGGUAUGGUUAGCGUAAGGAGGGUUAUUACUUAGAUCAUGUGAGUGGGUAGGCGGGAACUGGAGGCCAUUAAUCCUCAUGGUAGGACCGAGGGACGUAAGCGGUAGAUCUAUCUGGGUGUAGCGAGCCCAAUCCCAGGUCCAGCAUAACGGACCUCGGGGUGACUUUGUGCCCGACGCAAAAUCCGCUAGGUUUGAGUCUUCCUACUUGCACUUCACACAUAUCAAUGGACUUGCAAACCAUUGGUGAUCUCUUUUUCCUUAUUUGCUACAUACCAGGAUUUUUGAUAAAGAUAAAGGGAAUUAAAGAUCUGGCACGGUAUGGCAUGUUUUCCGCUGCAUAAGUCACCAGGGUCAUCCAGGGUUCGGGGAAUGUGACUCUUUCCUGGACAAGUCACAGUCCUUGAAUCAUGUUUAUGUUAUGUUUGGGUCUGUAAUGUUUAGACAAGUUUAUGGUUGUUGGGUGUUAACCCGUUAAGACAAUGUUUUACUAUUUUACUUUUAAUGGAUGAUCUUGCAUAUUUUUAAUUCAUAUAGCUUGUUAU
RNAcentral lists this long non-coding RNA (978 nucleotides) under Helianthus annuus (common sunflower). Its description in RNAcentral is "hypothetical non coding rna". The record is from RNAcentral. Lineage: Eukaryota; Viridiplantae; Streptophyta; Magnoliopsida; Asterales; Asteraceae.